RNAcentral lists this ribosomal RNA (1480 nucleotides) under metagenome. RNAcentral describes it as "bacterial SSU rRNA". It matches the Rfam family "Bacterial small subunit ribosomal RNA". The record is from RNAcentral.
AGAGUUUGAUCCUGGCUCAGGAUGAACGCUAGCGGCAGGCCUAACACAUGCUAGUCGAACGGUAACAGGUCCUUCGGGAUGCUGACGAGUGGCGCACGGGUGCGUAACGCGUAUGCAAUCUACCUCUAACUGGGAAAUAGCCCGGGGAAACUCGGAUUAAUGUCCCAUAAUAUCAUAGUAUCGCCUGAUACAUUGAUUAAAGCUUUGGCGGUUAGAGAUGAGCAUGCGUCCUAUUAGCUAGUUGGUGAGGUAACGGCUCACCAAGGCUACGAUAGGUAGGGGUUCUGAGAGGAUGAUCCCCCACACUGGUACUGAGACACGGACCAGACUCCUACGGGAGGCAGCAGUGAGGAAUAUUGGGCAAUGGACGCAAGUCUGACCCAGCCAUGCCGCGUGCAGGAUGACGGCCCUAUGGGUUGUAAACUGCUUUUAUAUGGAAAGAAACCCCUCUACGUGUAGAGGGCUGACGGUACCAUAUGAAUAAGCAUCGGCUAACUCCGUGCCAGCAGCCGCGGUAAUACGGAGGAUGCAAGCGUUAUCCGGAUUUAUUGGGUUUAAAGGCUCCGUAGGCGGGUCUUUAAGUCAGUGGUGAAAGCCUACAGCUCAACUGUAGAACUGCCAUUGAUACUGGAGAUCUUGAGUAUAAUUGAAGUGGGCGGAAUACGUCAUGUAGCGGUGAAAUGCAUAGAUAUGACGUAGAACACCGAUUGCGAAGGCAGCUCACUAAGUUAUAACUGACGCUGAGGGACGAAAGCGUGGGGAGCAAACAGGAUUAGAUACCCUGGUAGUCCACGCUGUAAACGAUGAUAACUCGCUGUUGGCGAUACACAGUCAGCGGCUAAGCGAAAGCGUUAAGUUAUCCACCUGGGGAGUACGUUCGCAAGAAUGAAACUCAAAGGAAUUGACGGGGGCCCGCACAAGCGGUGGAGCAUGUGGUUUAAUUCGAUGAUACGCGAGGAACCUUACCAGGGCUUAAAUGCAGAGCGACCGGUGCCGAAAGGUGCUUUCCCUUCGGGGCGGUUUGCAAGGUGCUGCAUGGUUGUCGUCAGCUCGUGCCGUGAGGUGUUAGGUUAAGUCCUGCAACGAGCGCAACCCCUAUCUUUAGUUGCCAGCGAGUAAUGUCGGGGACUCUAAAGAGACUGCCAGCGCAAGCUGUGAGGAAGGUGGGGAUGACGUCAAAUCAUCACGGCCCUUACGUCCUGGGCUACACACGUGCUACAAUGGUAGAGACAGAGGGCAGCCACCACGUGAGUGGGAGCGAAUCCUAAAACUCUAUCUCAGUUCGGAUCGAAGUCUGCAACUCGACUUCGUGAAGCUGGAAUCGCUAGUAAUCGCGCAUCAGCCAUGGCGCGGUGAAUACGUUCCCGGGCCUUGUACACACCGCCCGUCAAGCCAUGGGAGUUGGGAGUGCCUGAAGUCGGUAACCGCAAGGAGCUGCCUAGGGUAAGACCAAUGACUGGGGCUAAGUCGUAACAAGGUA